UCUAAACUCAUUGAAAUUUUUAUAAAUUAUGAUUGAAUUCAUAACUAUAAAGAGUUAUAGACUCGUUAUAUUGAAAUUUCAAGCAUGGGAAUUAGAAUUAAAGAGUCGGGUAGCUUGAGAAUGCUGCCUUAAUAUAGGUGGUACACCCCAUCUAAAGCUAAAUAUUGUAAAGAGACCGAUAGCAUACAAGUAGUGUGAACGAAAGAUGAAAAGAACUCCUAAACGGAGAAUUAAAAGCGCCUGAACUUGUCUAGGUUUUCGCAUUUCUUUAAUGCGCCCGUCUUGAAACACGGAUUAGGGAGUUUUACUUAAAUACGAGUCUUUAACUUUUAAAGUAAUUUUUUUAAAAAAGGCGAAAAGAAAUUAACUGGUUUUUUAACAUGGCUAUAGAGUAUUUAAGUCAAAACCCGAAUGGAGGUGAACUAUUCCUGCAAAGAUUGAAGUCAGGGGAAACUCUGAUGGAAGAUCGUUGGCGUUAUUGAUGUGCAAAUCAUUUGCUUUAUGUAGGUAUAGGUGCGAAAGACUCAUCGAACCUCCUAAUAGCUGGUUUCCUCCGAAGUUUCCCUCAGGAUAGCUGUAACAUUUUUAAAUAGUUAAGGAUAGUAGAGAAAUGGGUAGAGGUGUAGUGGAACUACGGUUCUGCAACUUAUUUCCAAACUUCGAACGUUCUUGAUAUAAAAAAUUACCUAAUAGGAAUUUUUUAUUUAAAUAUAACGUAUAAAUAAGGUGCCUAAAUUUACUAACAAUGAAACCAUUAAAAGAGUCCAUGUAUUUAGACAGCGGGUCGGUGCCCCUAAAAGCAGGUAUCCGUUAAUGAGUGUGUUAAAACUCCCCCGCCGAAUACUCUGGCCUUGAAAAUGAAUGGCGCAUAUAGUAAUACCGAUAUUAUACAUUAAAAUUAUUUAAAAAUUUUAAAAGUAGGGGGAUGUGGAUAUCUUAGGGAAUUUUUAAUUGUAAAAUUGAAUUGAAAGAUAUCUAUUACAGAUCCUAAUUGAAGUAGCGAUUAUCCAGGUUAAUUUCCUGGGGGCUGAUGAGGAGUAGGGUUUCUGGGCAACUUAAACGGACCCAGAGUUAGUCGAUCCUAAUCAAAUUAAAUUUAGAGAAAGGGAAUAUGAAUGAUAUUUCAUAACUAAAAUUAAUUUUUAAAUGGUGACAUUUUUUUAAACUUAUUUCCAUCAAUUAAAUACUGUUUAAUAGGGAUUUCUUUCCUAUAUAACUUUUUAAUUAAAACUUAAGAAACAGGUUAACUGGAGAAUAAAGUUUUAAUUUAGUAAAAUUAUAAUUUCGAUUAUAAUAACGGCUAUUUAAAUGAUCCAUGAAACGAUAAGUUUAUUUUUUCAAAAAUUAAUUUAAUCGUACCGAUAACCGCAUCAGGUCUCCAAGGUGAGUAGCUUCUGGCCAUUGAGUAAUGGUAAUUUAGGGAAUUCGGCCAAUUAGAGCUGUAACUUCGGGAUAAAGCUUGGCUCUGAUGGAAAUCAGAACCGAUAGUUACAAGGAGAGCCCAACUGUUUAAUAAAAACUUAGUGUCGCGUCAUACCUUUAUAAGUAAUAAACGUGACAUGAAUCCUGCUCAGUGCUGUGUUUGUUAAACUGGAUUAAUCCAUUUAAGCGCCGGUAAAUAGCUGGGGUAACUAUGACUCUUAUCAAAGUAGCGAAAUACCUCGUCACUUAAUUAGUGACCUGCAUGAACGGAGCUAUGAGGUUCUCACUGUCCCAAAUUAUCACUCAGCGAACCAACAGUUGUGGGAACGGGCACAAAUUAUCCAGCGGGGAAAGAAGACCCUGUAGAGCUUCACUUUGGUCUAAUCUUGUAUAGUUUCGUUAGGGGUGCAGUCUAGGUGGGAGAUUUUUAAUCAAAUAUGAGAAACCACUACCCUUUCUGGAAUUAUACUUACUAAAAUUCUUUUAUAAAUUUUAGGAUCGGAUUAGAUAGAAAGUUUGGCUGGGGCGGCACACCUUCGAAAAAGCAGCGAAGGUGUCCUAAGUUAAGCUCAGUAAGGACAGAAAUCUUACGUUGAGGAUAAGGCCAAAAGCUUAAUUUACUGUGCCUUUUUGUACUAGGAUCAGUUUGGAAACAAAGGCCUAACGAUCCCUAAUUAGUCUUAGGUGUGUAAGACUUGGGGUGACAGACAAGUUACCUCCGGGACAACUGGCUUGUGGCUGCUAAGAGAUCAAAUCAACGCAGCUUUUUGAUUCUUCGAUGUCGGCUCUUCCUAUCCUAGUGAUGUACAAGUCACUAAGGGUUGGAUUGUUCACCCGUAUUAGGGAUCGUGAGCUGGGUUUAGACCGUCGUGAGCCAGGUUUGUUUUAUCCUACUGGAUAUAAUUUAGCAUCUUGAUAGUAGUUUGAUUUAGUACGAGAGGAACUGUUGAAUAUGGUCUCUGGUUUGGGAAUUUUAUGAAAAUAAAAGUUCCAAAGCUACGCCGUCUGAGAUAAUGGCUGAAGGCCUCUUAAGCCAGAAACUCAUCUAAAAAUAGAUGCUUUAAACUAUUUAAAAGAAUUAAAUUUAAAAUA
This 2514-nucleotide ribosomal RNA is filed under the name human gut metagenome. RNAcentral's name for it is "eukaryotic LSU rRNA". It matches the Rfam family "Eukaryotic large subunit ribosomal RNA". The record is from RNAcentral.